GAUGAACGCUGGCGGCGUGCCUAAUACAUGCAAGUCGAGCGAACAGACGAGGAGCUUGCUCCUCUGACGUUAGCGGCGGACGGGUGAGUAACACGUGGAUAACCUACCUAUAAGACUGGGAUAACUUCGGGAAACCGGAGCUAAUACCGGAUAAUAUAUUGAACCGCAUGGUUCAAUAGUGAAAGACGGUUUUGCUGUCACUUAUAGAUGGAUCCGCGCCGCAUUAGCUAGUUGGUAAGGUAACGGCUUACCAAGGCAACGAUGCGUAGCCGACCUACGAGGGUGAUCGGCCACAAGAGAGCUGAGACACGGUCAAGACUCCUACGGGAGGCAGCAGUAGGGAAUCUUCCGCAAUGGGCGAAAGCAUGACGGAGCAACGCCGCGUGAGUGAUGAAUGUCUUCGGAUCGUAAAACUCUGUUAUUAGGGAAGAACAAAUGUGUAAGUAACUAUGCACGUCUUGACGGUACCUAAUCAGAAAGCCACGGCUAACUACGUG
This 497-nucleotide ribosomal RNA is filed under the name uncultured bacterium. RNAcentral's name for it is "partial 16S ribosomal RNA". It matches the Rfam family "Bacterial small subunit ribosomal RNA", at positions 28 to 507 of the family's 1533-position model. The record is from RNAcentral.